This 367-nucleotide ribosomal RNA is filed under the name uncultured organism. RNAcentral's name for it is "bacterial SSU rRNA". It matches the Rfam family "Bacterial small subunit ribosomal RNA", at positions 526 to 896 of the family's 1533-position model. The record is from RNAcentral.
CGUAGGUGGCAAGCGUUGUCCGGAUUUAUGGGUUUAAAGGGUGCGUAGGCGGCCCUGUAAGUCAGUGGUGAAAUACUCCAGCUUAACUGGAGGGGUGCCAUUGAUACUGCAGGGCUUGAGUACAGAUGAAGUAGGCGGAAUUGACGGUGUAGCGGUGAAAUGCAUAGAUAUCGUCAAGAACUCCGAUAGCGAAGGCAGCUUACUAAGCUGUAACUGACGCUGAGGCACGAAAGUGUGGGGAUCAAACAGGAUUAGAUACCCUGGUAGUCCACACUGUAAACGUUGAUGACUCGAUGUUGGCGAUACACAGCCAGCGUCCAAGAGCAAUCGUUAAGUCAUCCACCUGGGGAGUACGCCGGCAACGGUG